This is a long non-coding RNA of Saccostrea cuccullata (small rock oyster), 779 nucleotides long. RefSeq lists it as uncharacterized. NCBI's taxonomy places the organism in Eukaryota, Metazoa, Mollusca, Bivalvia, Ostreida, Ostreidae. The transcript has 6 exons. The record is from RefSeq and is a predicted model, not a curated record.
AUCAGUAAUGGUGGAUAAACAAUACGACAUGCAGUCUUGUCAUCAACAGACAGUUUUGACAUCCUUGUUUCUAUCAAUCACAUCUGUAACCUUUGUUGUGUUCAUCAAACAGAUGAUGGACCUCUCUACUUCCUUUUACAACAGGUGCCCCUACAGAUUCACAAAGUUCCAGUGUUGAGUUUCCAUGACCCCUAUUCAUCCACGACAGGAAAAGGAAAAGAGUUGACAGGACUUUCCGCACUGUCCCUGGUAGCAGUUUAUGAGGGAGCCAACUGCAGUAAACAUAGCACGCUUCAUCAAAGAUGCACCAGAUGCAGCAGCACUGUCUCCAUCACUGAUGAAAAGGGAUAUGACUAGUGGCCGGUCAUCACUUUGUAACUCACCAACACAAUUAGCGGCCCAUCUCUUCUCGUCUCCAAUGGUGGUCUCCAGAGGAAUGGUUGCUGUGCAGUCUUCAUGUCCUGGGCAAGUCUGUUGGUGGUUGAUGCUGGUUCAAUAUUUGCACCAAGAAGCAUACCAUGCAUACCCUCUGUUGUAAGACUGGUACCCAGGUGACCGACAGCCAUGGCCACAUUCAGCUGUGCAGCUCUUCGUCCCCAGCCAGAUCUUCUCACCUCUUUGUAGUUUUUCUCGGUGACUGGUAUAGUGGCACUUUUUACAUCGGAUGGAAAGGAUCCAUGCCAGGCCUCUUUUUUCCUUCCCAUGCUGAUUCCAGUCGAGUAGACCAUCACAGUCUGGAAACUUAUGUGUGCAUGAUACAACUUCCUAGAUGGUGUGUA